GAACGAGAAAGUGGAGCAAUCCAUGAGUAAAGUGGCGACCGGGUGAGUAACACGUGACUAACCUGCCCUAGAGUGGGGGAUAACCUCGGGAAACCGGGGCUAAUACCGCAUAACAUCGCGAGGGGAAGAUCCUUGUGAUCAAAGGAGCAAUUCGCUCCGGGAGGGGGUCGCGGCUGAUUAGCUAGUUGGUGAGGUAACGGCCCACCAAGGCUUCGAUCAGUAGCCGGCCUGAGAGGGCGCACGGCCACACUGGAACUGAAACACGGUCCAGACUCCUACGGGAGGCAGCAGUGGGGAAUUUUGCGCAAUGGGGGAAACCCUGACGCAGCAACGCCGCGUGGAGGAUGAAGUCCCUUGGGAUGUAAACUCCUUUCGAUCGGGACGAUUAUGACGGUACCGGAAGAAGAAGCACCGGCUAACUCUGUG
Molecule: ribosomal RNA, 426 nt
Filed under: uncultured bacterium
Lineage: Bacteria
Description: bacterial SSU rRNA
Rfam family: Bacterial small subunit ribosomal RNA
Source: RNAcentral